This 209-nucleotide long non-coding RNA is filed under the name Lathyrus oleraceus (garden pea). Its description in RNAcentral is "Pisum sativum (pea) long non-coding RNA (PSAT_LNC005823)". Lineage: Eukaryota; Viridiplantae; Streptophyta; Magnoliopsida; Fabales; Fabaceae. The record is from RNAcentral.
UUUUUUAUUAGUGUGCUCGCCAAGAUCUCGCAAUCUCGUGCCUACAUAUCCUUAUGGUGCAAUAAGGAAAUCAGAGCAUUUGUAGUUCGGGGAACUACGGUUGGUUGGUGUCUUUUAAUGAAUGACUGUUUAGAUCGUGUUUUAAAGGCUAAACAUUGGUUUGUCUACUCUCGGUGGAGGCUUAAACACUAGUUUGUUGUGCGCGUUAG